CACCGGGGCACGGGGGCUAUACCGGAUAACAUUUUGACCGCAUGGUUCGAAAUUGAAAGGCGGCUUCGGCUGUCACUUAUGGAUGGACCCGCGUCGCAUUAGCUAGUUGGUGAGGUAACGGCUCACCAAGGCAACGAUGCGUAGCCGACCUGAGAGGGUGAUCGGCCACACUGGGACUGAGACACGGCCCAGACUCCUACGGGAGGCAGCAGUAGGGAAUCUUCCGCAAUGGACGAAAGUCUGACGGAGCAACGCCGCGUGAGUGAUGAAGGCUUUCGGGUCGUAAAACUCUGUUGUUAGGGAAGAACAAGUGCUAGUUGAAUAAGCUGGCACCUUGACGGUACCUAACCAGAAAGCCACGGCUAACUACGUGCCAGCAGCCGCGGUAAUACGUAGGUGGCAAGCGUUAUCCGGAAUUAUUGGGCGUAAAGCGCGCGCAGGUGGUUUCUUAAGUCUGAUGUGAAAGCCCACGGCUCAACCGUGGAGGGUCAUUGGAAACUGGGAAACUUGAGUGC
Molecule: ribosomal RNA, 515 nt
Filed under: Bacillus sp. SJ 607
Lineage: Bacteria; Bacillati; Bacillota; Bacilli; Caryophanales; Bacillaceae
Description: bacterial SSU rRNA
Rfam family: Bacterial small subunit ribosomal RNA
Source: RNAcentral